UUGGAGGGCAAGUCUGGUGCCAGCAGCCGCGGUAAUUCCAGCUCCAAUAGCGUAUAUUAAAGUUGUUGCAGUUAAAAAGCUCGUAGUUGAAUUUCGAGACCGGCUUACUGGUCGUGCUAUUGUGCGUACUGGUAUAAUCGGUUUCUCCUUUCUGACGAACUAUAAUGCCAUUAAUUUGGUGUUAUAGGGAAUCAGGACUGUUACUUUGAAAAAAUUAGAGUGUUUAAAGCAGGCUCACGCUUGAAUACAUUAGCAUGGAAUAACGGAAUAGGACGUUUGAUUCUAUUUUGUCGGUUUCUAGGAUCGAUGUAAUGAUUAAUAGGGAUAGUUGGGGGCAUUAGUAUUCAAUUGUCAGAGGUGAAAUUCUUGGAUUUAUUGAAGACUAACUACUGCGAAAGUAUUUGCCAAGGAUGUUUUCAUUAAUCAAGAACGAAAGUUAGGGGAUCGAAGACGAUCAGAUACCGUCGUAGUCUUAACCAUAAACUAUGCCGACUAGGGAUCGGAUGAUGUUAAUUUUUUAAUGACUCAUUCGGCGCCUUACGGGAAAC
This 548-nucleotide ribosomal RNA is filed under the name uncultured Glomeromycotina. RNAcentral describes it as "SSU rRNA". It matches the Rfam family "Eukaryotic small subunit ribosomal RNA", at positions 548 to 1098 of the family's 1831-position model. The record is from RNAcentral. Lineage: Eukaryota; Fungi; Glomeromycota.